GCGAAUCCGGGUAUUUGGAGUUAUGAAGGUGUGGCAGGUGCACAUAUUGUGUUUUCUGGCUUGUGUUUCUUGGCAGCUAUCUGGCAUUGGGUAUAUUGGGACCUAGAAAUAUUCUGUGAUGAGCGGACGGGAAAACCUUCUUUGGAUUUGCCCAAGAUCUUUGGAAUUCAUUUAUUUCUUGCAGGGGUGGCUUGUUUUGGCUUUGGUGCAUUUCAUGUAACGCGUAAACCUGUUUUCUUUUCCAUUUUCGAAUUUCUUUUCUUUUUGUUAUAACAGAUAGCUAAAUAAAUGCAUAACUUGAAGAAUAAUCAUCCAAAAAUGUUCAAACCAAUUUUGUUAGAUUCUGGAAUUUAUGAACUAUCAGAUAAAAAUAAUAGAACCCAUGGCUUCUGUGUUCCUUUCUGAAGUUUUGAAUUAAAUAAGAAAACCACUCAAAACUCAAUAUUAGAAGGAAAAAUAGGAAUAUUGUUUAACCAGGGUUAGAAAAAUUUUGAGAAGCUUAUAUCUACCUACUAGACCAAGUAAAAAUGUUAAACCUCUCUGUAUACUCCAUUUAAGUUAGUUUUACCCCUUAUUCUAUAAUAUGCUUAAGGAUAAGGAAAAUAGAAAAUGUAAUUUAAUUAAUGAACCAGAGAGUACCUCUAUUUUUGUUAGGUUACUUAUUCAAUAUAGUUCACUGGAAAUAUAUAUCAUACCCUGUUUUAGUGUAAAAUAAGUAAGAUCUCUUUUGUUUUAAUAAAACAAGUGAAACUUAGAAAAACUCUACAAAAAUAACCCCAAGGUAAAAGCACCCCCACCCUUGGGAUAACUAUUGUUUUAUUAGAGAGAACUUAGGAAAAAUAUGAAAUCUGCUGUUUGACAUUUUUCAAAUAAUAAUGUAGUAGAAAGUGCCUUUUUAACAUUAAACUUAAGAAAAUCAUAACUAAAUAACCACCCCUUAGUUUUCUGUGAUUUUUAGCACAGAGACCUAUUAUUACUAUUGGAUGCCAGCAAAAAUAACCUUUAGGACAGAACCUACCCCCAACUAAGAGGUGUAGUGUAAAGUGGCCCAUUUUGCCUAACUUUUGUUAUUUUUGUUUAAAGCCUAGCCUUGGUACUUAAAGCCUCAACUUCUUAAAACAAGCUAGAAUAGCAAGUGACAACCCACUGUAAUUUUUACAGAAUUUUUUGGAAAUUAUUAAAACCCUGUUGAAGUUCAAACCUACCCUAGAAACCCUAAAUGGAAAUUAAGGAAAGGAAAAUGAAUAAUGUGAAUGAAUGUUAUCCUAAAACCUUUGUAAUCUGUCCACUAAAAUAUAUCAAGGCAAUACCAAUUCACUAUGUUAUUCAAAAAGAAACCUAAGCUUAAAGGGUAAUAAGUCUAUGUAUCUAUAUAUAUGCCACUAGAAGCCCCGCAUGACUAAGAAAACCCUAAGUUAAUUCUUGACUUAGUUUCUUUAGCUUAAUGUUCUUAAAUCUUGCAUAAUCAUGACAUACAUGUUCAUUGCAUUUCGAUAGACUGUAAUCUCGCUGACGGAGAGUACAUCCUCGUGCCGGAGCAAGGAGCUGCUCAGGAGGUAGCCCCAGACCCAGCACCCGAGCCUGCACCAGAGGACCUGCCUGCCACUGCUUUGGAAGGCAAGCCUCGGUUUUAUGCAUAACCUGUUAUUUAUGCUAUUUUACUUCACUUAAUGAUUGUAGGAUUGAUUGUGCACUUAGGUGUAGGAAUUGUUUGAAACCCUAGUUGCAUGAUCUCAGGAAUCCUUUUGAGAUGAAUACUAGUAUGACAGGUCGAGUAGUUGCUUUAUUUAAUUAGGAUCUCGGUAGAAGACGAGUGAUUUUUCUAGCACUCGCGCGAGAUCAGGAAAUUGAUUGUACCCACUUGCACACUGUCAUGAUACUAGUUGGUGGACAACAAUCCAUGGGGAUUGGUUGUUCACGAGAUGGAAAAUGGAAUAAGGAUUAACGUGCGGAUACCUGUGUCAAGCGUUUGAACGUACUAAACACAUACCGAGAAAUAUGGUAAAUCGGUAAGCCUAGUACCUGAGUGAACCUGCCCGCAGAUUGCCCUCCUCACGCGACCUGAGACGAGGUCUCCCAUUCUGGUUAUGGUGGGUACAAGUGCGGUCACUGCACGACGGCCAGUCGGGGUCAGUGAGGCAUUGUACGCCAAGGCGGUGAGCCCCUUUCUGUUGCCAGGGAAUCGAUGGGGACGGUUGAUGUGUGUGGGGACGGAGUGCCCCUGCAUGUCGUGUGUUUAGGUUUGCCUUGCAAGGAUAAAAACUCGAUUCGAAUCGUCUGCUUCUCGCAGCUAAUGAGACUGCUUGAUCCAUUGUACUGCAUUGAGUAAUAAGUGGAAGUAUGAUGAGUUGAGAUAAGAUGUUGAUUGUUAACAAUGCUUGCUACCAUGUAUGAGUAGAUAGUCCACUUUUAGCCUUAAGAGAGUCACACUUAACUUUGACUAAGUUAAAAUCUUGAUUUAGAAACUCAGCUAGUGCUUUUGGCAACCAAACCCCACAGCCAAACAACUGCAUGUCUAGAGGUAGAGGAGUAGACUCCUCACACCGGGUAAGUCUAGCUGAGUAUUAGUAUACUCAGCCUUGCUUGUGGCACAAUUUUUUACAGGUUCUCUGGAGGAGAUGGUUGCUGGGAUAACUUGGCCGUCCACCUUGCCACCGGGUUGGACUGUUGAGUGGGACCCUGCCUCGGCUGAGGAGGAGCAUGAGGAGUGAUGGGACAGGCUUCCCCAUCUCUCUGUUUAAGUAUCGUUAGUUUUAUUCCGCUGCACUUCGAACAAUGAUGGUUACUUUUGCAAAACUCCGAUGAUGAUGAUGGUGAUGUAAUAAUUUAAUACUCUGGCAUGUAUGGUUUUAUGCUUUAUUGUAUUUGCUCUGUGACUCACCUUCGAGUGAGAUUGUGGUACUUGAUCCUGUCAGUGGCCGUGUCGGACUAGAUCCGAGGGAUUGACGGGUUAUUCCUAUUUAAGUGUGGUCUAGCCUCUAAGGCGGGACUUAGGCACUUAAGUUGGAAUAAUUCGGGCAGUUCCGCCACAGCUGGUAUCAGAGCUUGUACCACCACAGAGGAAUCAAUAAAAUGUAAAUACCAUCAAUUUUCUAAAUAAAACUUGAUAGAAACAAGGUUGGAUAGAAAGUAGGACGAGCAGGAUAGACCUAGGACGUGAAGCCUUAGGUAAAUAGAAGAGUAGCUAGGUGGCUAAGUAACUAGGCCCUACAGGCCACUUUUUCGGGAUGGGAGUUCCUCCCUACUUCUUUUAUCUUAUUGUGAGGUCGUUCAGGACGAGCAUGCAUGCAUUCAUGAUUAAGCAAAUAGAUAACUGAGUAAAAGACUUAAAAACAAGAUAACAACCAACUAGGUCUCCAGCGCCUUUUCAUUAACUAAAGAAGGGCUGAGUUUUAUUUUUCCUUGUUCUUUUAUAAUUCUUUUUUUUACGCUUAACCGUACACAGAUGACUUCCCACGGAUCCUCCGAUGACGGAAAUGCACUGACCCACACUGACGGACUUGCACGAGAGGGCUUUCCCCGCAUUUUGUGGGAAGUACUUCAGGGGGCCGGAUACACGACACCCCCUCAGUACGCGGUGCAGCAGUUCGAGAAGCACCGAGUGCCUCGCUGUAAGGUGAGGAUGACCUUGGAGCCUCAUCCCCUGCAGCCAGGAUGGCGCUCCUUGGACUCCGAGUCUUUUGGGUACCGGGCAGAGGACACGAUCGAGGCGAUCGCUCUGCAUGGAUUGACUACCUUCUGCGGAUUCCAUCCCUUGGAGCUGGCUACCCACCCCAUUGGCUUGUUCCCCGCUGAGAGGGAGGACGACCCAAUGUGGAAGGAUCGGGUGGAGCAUGCCAAGGAUAUCUGGGCCAUCUACCCGGGUCAGACUGCGCACUUGACAGUACGGUGCAUGAAUGCUCUGUACCGUCUGCAAGUGAUGCGCGGUGAGGCAAUGUCCCAUCUGAUGGCACUGCUGGAGGCAACAAAGAUCACGCUGGAUAACAGAGAGGAGCUCGUGGUUGAUUUAUCUCAAGAAAUGGUGGAGAAGGACUUGCAGGUGGAGCAGCUAUCCACUGAUAUUUAGGAAUUGGAGGAGCUGGUGGGCACCAGGGAGAACACCAUCGAGGUCCUAGAGGAUCAGCUCCUUAACACUCAGCAGCAGCUCGCUGAGGCUAACGAGCACCUGGACAUGCACCACCAGGAGAUCCAGGACCAGGAGGCCAACGAGGACGUCGACAUUGAGGGAGGAGAUGAGCCUGCCUCCAGUGUGGACACUGCUGGCUCGGGAAGACCACCUUCCCCCGAGUCGAGUGUUGCUUCGUUCGCUCACUAGGUGUCCAGGGUAGGCUUAGAAGUCGGAUAGUCGGACUCCUCACAGCUAGCUUAGCUUUUGCACCCUUGGGGUACUAGGCUAGUUAGAGUUGAGUCAUUUUGGAACAAAUUGAUGUAAUCGUGCAAAAACUCUCUUGGGAGCUGGUUUGAUGGAUGCUAUUAUCAGUUUAGAUUUGGAAGGAGGAAUUUAUGCCUCUUGAAAUCCCUUUUGUUGAAGUCGGAGUCUAUCAUGCUAUUUUAACUUUUCCCCGUGAUAAAAUCUUGAAAUUUGGAACUGUGGUGUUAAGUAAGUAUGUGAUUUUUCAGAUGGCCGGGAGGCAGCGUCGUGGCCAGAACGAGCACGUUCCUCCACCGCCGCCACCACCUCCCACUCUGCAGGAGCUCAUGGCUCAGCAGAAUGAGAUCCUGAGGCAGCUGGCUCAGCGUCAACCACCACCUCAACAUUAUGGUGGUGGAGACCAUCAGCGUCACCCCGCGGCGGCUACAUACCAGGAGUUCCUUAGCACCCAGCCUCCAUUGUUCACGAGGGCGGAGGACCCACUUGACGCAGAUGUAUGGCUGCGAGUGGUGGAAUCCAAAUUCCCACUACUCCAUGGGGCUUGCUCAGAGGUCACCAAAGUCAGGUUCGCCACCCAGCAGCUUCGUGGACCCGCAAGGACUUGGUGGGAUCAUUUUCUUGCUAUGCAGCCAGAGGACCGAGAGGUGGAGUGGAGGGAGUUCAAGGCAGCUUUUAGAGGACACCAUAUACCAACCGGGAUCAUGGACAGGAAGCUCAAUGAGUUCUUGGCACUCACUCAGGGCAACAGGACAGUGUUGCAGUAUGCCCAGGCCUUUAAUGACUUGUGCCAGUACGCGGGAUAUCAUGCAGAUACAGAUGAGAAGAAGAGGGACAGAUUCAGGAGGGGGCUUAGCACUAAGCUCCGUGAUCGUCUCAACACCGUCAGGGCCAACAGCUACAAUGAGUUGGUCAACAUGGCUAUCUCCCAAGAGGACUGCAUUACAGCUAGGCAGGCAGAGAAGAAGAGGAAGACCCCUGUGGCAGGACCCUUAGCUCAGCCACAGCACUUCAGGAUUGUGUCCGACACCCAGGGCAGGGGACCGCAGCAGCAGCAAGGGCGAUGGGUAAUCCGACCUCAGCAGCAGCAGGCACCCAACCGCAACCAGUUUCCAGCUCAGAGGAAUAACCAGCAGCAGCAGUACCGCCAGGCAAAUGACAACAGAUGCUUCACUUGUGGCAACACUGGGUAUUAUGCCAAGAAUUGCCCCAGGAACCAGCAGAGGCAGGGACAGAAUGCUAAUCAGAACCAAGGCAAAAGGCAGAAGGUGCAAGUGAGGCAAGGCAGACUGAACUUCACCACCAUGGCUGACAUUCCUGAGGGAGCACCCGUCAUGACUGGUAUCUUUACAGUUUUGAAUUAUCCUGCGAUUAUUUUAUUUGAUUCGGGUGCAUCGCAUAGUUUUAUCAGUGCUAAGUUUAGUGCCAAGUGCCAGUUGCCCUUUCACCAUACCGAUGGGGGCAUUACAAUUUCAAUGCCAGGAGGCAGAGUUGCCACUUAUCAAAUCAACAGGCAAGUGCCUAUAAAAUUUGGUAGUCUGGUGAUUAGAACCACCCUUCUCAUCUUAGGGUUGGAUAGCGUGGAUAUUAUUUUGGGAGCUGACUGGUUGACCAGGCAUCAGGCAGUAUUGGACAUUGCAGCCAGAGCCAUUGAAAUUCAUUCCCCUGCUUAUGGCGAGACUGUUUUAUAUUUGCCCGACCAGGGUUGUACCCGAUCUUGUGCCUUUGUUAUGAUAGAAUCCCCGGUGAAAAAUAUCCCAGUGGUCUGCGACUACCCAGAUGUUUUCCCAGACGAAUUGCCAGGGAUGCCACCUGACCGAGAUAUUGAGUUCGCCAUCGAAUUGCAACCCGGGACUGCUCCUAUCUCCAAGAGACCCUAUAGGAUGCCUCCCGCGGAACUAGCGGAAUUGAAGAAACAAUUGCAAGAAUUGUUGGACAAGGGGUUUAUUCGUCCAAGCACUUCACCAUGGGGAUGUCCAGCCUUAUUUGUGAAGAAAAAGGAUGAGAGUUUGAGGAUGUGUGUUGACUACCGCCCUCUCAAUGCGGUGACUAUUAAGAACAAGUACCCGCUACCCCGCAUUGAUGUUCUGUUCGAUCAAUUGGUAGGAGCUGAAAGGGAAAUGUGCCCUUGGGCCAUUUCUAAGUAUUUUGGUGAUUGAGUGCCAACUCAAGUGCUUAAAAUGUGAAUUUAUGCAAUGGAUGAACAAAGUGCAAAUCAAGAGCAAAGGUAUGUUUCUAAGUCUUAGUACAUUGGUUUUGUGUACUAAUAUACUUGUCUAAGUAUUGGAAACAGGAAGAAAAAGAAAAGGAAAAAGGUGGCUGUGUACAGCCAAGGGGCUGUUUCGGUCUGGGGCACCGGACUGUCCGGUGGUGCACCGGACAGUGUCCGGUGCGCCAGGCUGCCUCGGCCGAACAGGCCGCUCUCGGGAAUUCGCCGACGGCGUACGACUAAAAUUCACCGGACUGUCCGGUGUGCACCAGACUGUCCGGUGAGCCAACGGUCGGCUAGGGCCAACGGUCGGCCGCGGAUUCUGCGCGCGACACGUGGCCAAGCCAACGGUCGGAAGGGGGCACCGGACUGUCCGGUGUGCACCGGACAUGUCCGGUGCGCCAACGGCUCUCAGAUCUGCAACGGUCGACUGCGCUGCUUAAGGAAGGAAAUCGGGCACCGGACAGUGUCCGGUGUGCACCGGACUGUCCGGUGCGCCCGACGACAGAAGGCAAGAUCAGCCUUCCAGAUUUGCUCUCAACGGCUCCUAGCUGCCUUGGGGCUAUAAAAGGGACCCCUAGGCGCAUGGAGGAUGACACUAAGCAACCUAAGAGCAUUCUUGAUCAUCCACACUCAUUCUUUGCGCAUUCGUUUGUCAUUCUAAGUGAUUCGAGCUCCGUUCUUGUGAGAACUUUGAGAUAGUCUUUGGAGCUCGAUUCUUGGCCGUGUGUGUGCGCAUUUUGCUGUGGAUUUGUGUGUGUUGCUUCCCUCCCUUACUCCGUAUUUCUUUGUGAAUCUCAAGUGUAAGGGCGAGAGACUCCAAGUUGUGGAGAUUCCUCGCAAACGGGAAAUUGAAAGGAAAAGCAUAACACUGUGGUAUUCAAGUUGAUCAUUGGAUCACUUGAGAGGAGUUGAGUGCAACUCUCGUCCGUUGGGACGCCACAACGUGGAGUAGGAAAGUUUUGUACUUGGCCGAACCACGGGAUAAAUCACUGUGUCUUCUCUGUGUUGAACUCCUUGUGAUUAUCAUAUUGUGCAAGAUCUUCUCUCCAGCCACUUGGCAUUAACUGUGCUAACACUUAAUCAAAGUUUUGUGGCUUAAGUUUUGAAGUUUACAGGAUCACCUAUUCACCCCCCCUCUAGGUGCUCUCAAUUGGUAUCGGAGCCGUUCUCUUCAAGAAAGGGACUAACCGCCCGAAGAGAUGGAUCCUAAGGGGAAGGGAAUCGUGAUCAACGACAAGGAAAAGGAGUCCUUCGUCAACGAGCCAAAAGAUGACAAAUCCAACGACUCCGGCUCGGGCCACAGACGUAAAGAUGGGAAGAAGAAGAAGACAAGACGUAUCAAGGAGAUCGUCUACUACGACAGCGACGAGUCUACUUCUUCCCACAAGGACGACGACAACGACUACAGGAAGACGGUCAAUUCGAACUUUUCAUUUGAUUAUUCUCGUAUUCCACAUAGUUCGAAUUCGCAUUUGCUUUCCAUUCCUCUUGGCAAACCUCCACACUUUGAUGGGGAGGACUACGGAUUUUGGAGUCACAAAAUGCGUAGCCAUUUAUUCUCUCUCCAUCCAAGCAUAUGGGAGAUUGUAGAGAGUGGAAUGAAAUUUGAUAGCUCGGAUAGCCCUAUGUUUAUUAACGAACAAAUUCAUAAAAAUGCACAAGCUACUACUGUGUUGCUAGCCUCUUUGUGCAGGGACGAGUACAAUAAGGUGAGCGGCUUGGACAAUGCCAAGCAGAUAUGGGACACCCUCAAGAUUUCUCACGAGGGGAACGACAUCACCAUGCUCACUAAAAUGGAGUUGGUGGAGGGCGAGCUUGGAAGGUUUGCAAUGAUAAGGGGCGAGGAGCCAACCCAAACAUACAACCGGCUCAAGACCCUUAUCAACAAAAUAAGGAGUUAUGGAAGCACGCGAUGGACGGACCAUGACGUCGUCCGACUAUUGCUAAGGUCCUUUACCAUUCUUGAUCCUCAUUUGGUGAAUAAUAUUCGUGAGAAUCCCAGGUACACCAAAAUGUCGCCCGAAGAAGUCCUAGGAAAAUUCGUCAGCGGGCGAAUGAUGAUUAAGGAAGCAAGGUACGUGGACGACGCCUUGAAUGGACCAAUCAACGAGCCGCAACCUCUUGCUCUCAAAGCAACAAGAAGCAAGGAGGCGCUACCUAGCAAGGUGGCACAAAUUGAGGCAGCCGGACUUAAUGAUGAAGAGAUGGCUCUCAUCAUCAAACGCUUCAAGACGGUGCUAAAAGGUCACAAGGGGCAGCCAAGCAAGACCAAGACAAAAGGGAAGCGCUCAUGCUUCAAGUGCGGUAAGAUUGGUCAUUUUAUCGCUAACUGCCCUGAUAACGAUAUUGACCAGGAACAGGGGAACAAGAGGGAAAAGAAGAAGAAUUACAAGAAGGCCAAGGGCGAGGCACACAUCGGAAAGGAGUGGGAUUCGGAUUGCUCCUCCGACUCCGACAAUGAAGGACUCGCCGCCACCGCCUUCAACAAGUCAUCCCUCUUCCCCAACGAGCGUCACACAUGCCUUAUGGCAAGGGAGAAGAAGGUGAGUACUCGAGACUCCACUUAUGCUUCUUCUAGUGAUAAUGAGUCUAGUGAUGAUGAUGACAUAGACUAUUCAUACUUAUUCAAGGGUUUAGAUAGAUCUAAGAUAGACAAAAUUAAUGAAUUGAUUGAUGCCUUGAAUGAUAUGAAUAGGCUUUUAGAAAAGCAAGAGGAUUUGUUGUAUGAUGAGCAUGAUAAGUUUGUAGAGGCACAAAAAUCCUAUGCUUUAGAAGUUAAAAGAAAUGAAGUACUUUCUAGUGAAUUAUCUUCUUGUCAUGAAAACAUUGCUACUUUAAAGAGCGUUAAUGAUGAUUUAAAUGCUAAGCUAGAAAAAUCUAGUAAAUUAACAUCUUGUGUAGAACAUGUUGUGAUUUGCACUAGGAGUAAAGACUUUAAUGUUGAUGCUUGUAGUGAACACCUAGAGUGCAUUUCUAAAUUAAAUGAUGAAGUAGCUAGUCUUAAUGCCCAACUUAAGACUAGCAAGAGUGAUUUGGAUAAACUAAAAUUUGCAAGGGAUGCCUACACAAUUGGUAGACACCCCUCAAUUAAGGAUGGGCUUGGCUUCAAGAGGGAAGUCAAGAACUUGACAAGCCAUAAGGCUCCCAUCUCCGCCAAGGAGAAAGGGAAGGCCCCUAUGGCUACUAGUGUUAAAAAGAACCAUGCCUUUUUGUAUCAUGAUAGGAAAAAUUCUAGAAAUGCUUUUAGAAGAUAUGAUGCUUUUGAUUCACAUGCUUAUGAUUCUUAUGCUAUGACUGCUUCUAGUUCUCAUGUUGUGCAUGAUAGAAAAGUUGGUAGGAGGAAUGUUGUUCAUAAUAUGCCUAGGAGAAAUGUUGUUAAUAUUCCUAGGAAAGUUAAUGAGCCUUCUACAAUAUAUCAUGCUUUGAAUGCUUCCUUUGCAAUUUAUAAAAAUGAUAGAAAGGUAAUUGCUAGAAAGUUAGGGGCAAAAUGCAAGGGUGAUAAAACUUGCAUUUGGGUCCCUAAGGAUAUUUGCACUAACCUUGUAGGACCCAACAAGAGUUGGGUACCUAAGUCCCAAGCCUAAAUUUGCCUUGCAGGUUUAUGCAUCCGGGGGUUCAAGCUGGAUUAUCGACAGCGGAUGCACAAACCAUAUGACGGGGGAGAAGAAGAUGUUCACCUCCUACGUCAAGAAUAAGGAUUCCCAAGAUUCAAUUAUAUUCGGUGAUGGGAAUCAAGGCAAGGUAAAAGGGUUAGGUAAAAUUGCAAUUUCUAAUGAGCAUUCUAUCUCUAAUGUAUUUUUAGUAGAGAGUCUUGGAUAUAAUUUGCUAUCUGUUAGUCAAUUAUGUCAUAUGGGAUAUAACUGUCUAUUUACAAAUGUAGAUGUGUCUGUCUUUAGAAGAAGUGAUGGUUCACUAGCUUUUAAGGGUGUAUUAGACGGCAAACUUUAUUUAGUUGAUUUUGCAAAAGAAGAGGCCGGUCUAGAUGCAUGCUUAAUAGCUAAGACUAGCAUGGGCUGGCUGUGGCAUCGCCGCUUAGCACAUGUGGGGAUGAAGAACCUUCACAAGCUUCUAAAGGGAGAACACGUGAUAGGUUUGACUAACGUGCAAUUCGAAAAAGAUAGACCGUGUGCAGCUUGUCAAGCAGGUAAACAAGUGGGAGGAGCACAUCACAGCAAGAAUGUGAUGACCACUUCAAGACCCCUGGAGCUGCUGCAUAUGGACCUCUUCGGACCCGUCGCCUAUUUGAGUAUAGGAGGAAGUAAGUAUGUUCUAGUUAUUGUUGAUGACUUUUCCCGCUUCACUUGGGUAUUCUUUUUGCAGGAUAAGUCUGAAACCCAAGGGACCCUCAAGCGCUUCCUCAGGAGAGCUCAAAAUGAGUUUGAGCUCAAGGUGAAGAAGAUAAGGAGCGACAACGGGUCCGAGUUCAAGAACCUUCAAGUGGAGGAGUUCCUUGAGGAGGAAGGGAUCAAGCAUGAGUUCUCCGCUCCCUACACACCACAGCAAAAUGGUGUGGUAGAGAGGAAGAACAGGACGCUAAUCGACAUGGCGAGGACUAUGCUUGGAGAGUUCAAGACCCCCGAGCGUUUUUGGUCGGAAGCCGUGAACACGGCUUGCCACGCCAUCAACAGGGUCUACCUUCAUCGCCUCCUCAAGAAGACUUCAUAUGAGCUUCUAACCGGUAACAAACCCAAUGUAUCUUACUUUCGUGUAUUUGGGAGCAAGUGCUACAUUCUAGUGAAGAAGGGUAGAAAUUCUAAGUUUGCUCCCAAAGCUGUAGAAGGGUUUUUAUUAGGUUAUGACUCAAAUACAAAGGCGUAUAGAGUCUUCAACAAAUCAUCAGGUUUGGUUGAAGUCUCUAGCGACGUUGUAUUUGAUGAGACUAAUGGCUCUCCAAGAGAGCAAGUUGUUGAUUGUGAUGAUGUAGAUGAAGAAGAUGUUCCAACGGUCGCUAUACGAACCAUGGCGAUUGGAGAAGUGCGGCCACAGGAAUGAACGAGAUCAAACAUCUUCCUCAACUAUGGUGCUACCCCCAACUCAAGACGAUGAACAGGUUCAUCAACAGGAGGCGUGUGAUCAAGGGGGAGCACAAGAUGAUCGUGUGAUGGAGGAAGAUGCGCAACCAGCACCUCCAACCCAAGUUCGAGCGAUGAUUCAAAGGGAUCAUCCCGUCGACCAAAUUCUGGGUGACAUUAGCAAGGGAGUAACUACUCGAUCUCGAUUAGUUAAUUUUUGUGAGCAUUACUCCUUUGUCUCUUCUAUUGAGCCUUUCAGGGUAGAGGAGGCCUUGCUAGAUCCGGACUGGGUGUUGGCCAUGCAGGAGGAGCUCAACAACUUCAAGAGAAAUGAAGUUUGGACGCUGGUGCCUCGUCCGAAGCAAAAUGUUGUGGGAACCAAGUGGGUGUUCCGCAACAAACAGGACGAACACGGGGUGGUGACGAGAAACAUGGCUCGACUUGUGGCAAAAGGUUAUGCCCAAGUCGCAGGUUUGGAUUUCGAGGAGACUUUUGCUCCUGUGGCUAGGCUAGAGUCUAUUCGUAUCCUGCUAGCAUAUGCCGCUCACCAUUCUUUCAGGCUGUUCCAAAUGGAUGUGAAGAGCGCUUUCCUCAACGGGCCAAUCAAGGAGGAGGUGUACGUGGAGCAACCCCCUGGCUUCGAGGAUGAACGGUACCCCAACCACGUGUGUAAGCUCUCUAAGGCGCUCUAUGGACUUAAGCAAGCCCCAAGAGCAUGGUAUGAAUGCCUUAGAGACUUUCUAAUUGCUAAUGCUUUCAAGGUUGGGAAAGCCGAUCCAACUCUUUUUACUAAGACAUGUGAUGGUGAUUUGUUUGUGUGCCAAAUUUAUGUCGAUGACAUAAUAUUUGGUUCUACUAACCAAAAGUCUUGUGAAGAGUUUAGCAGGGUGAUGACGCAGAAAUUCGAGAUGUCGAUGAUGGGCGAGUUGAACUACUUCCUUGGGUUCCAAGUGAAGCAACUCAAGGACGGCACCUUCAUCUCCCAAACGAAGUACACGCAAGAUCUGCUAAAGCGGUUUGGGAUGAAGGACGCCAAGCCCCCAAAGACUCCGAUGGGGACCGACGGACACACCGACCUCAACAAAGGAGGUAAGUCCGUUGAUCAAAAAGCAUACCGGUCAAUGAUAGGUUCUUUGCUUUACUUAUGUGCUAGUAGACCGGAUAUUAUGCUUAGCGUAUGCAUGUGUGCUAGAUUUCAAUCCAAUCCUAAGGAGUGUCACUUAGUGGCGGUAAAGCGAAUUCUUAGAUAUUUGGUUGCUACGCCUUGCUUCGGGCUCUGGUAUCCAAAGGGGUCUACCUUUGACUUAGUUGGAUACUCAGACUCCGACUAUGCUGGAUGUAAGGUCGAUAGGAAGAGUACAUCGGGGACGUGCCAAUUCUUAGGAAGGUCCCUGGUGUCAUGGAACUCUAAGAAACAAACCUCCGUUGCCCUAUCCACCGCUGAGGCCGAGUACGUUGCCGCAGGUCAGUGUUGCGCGCAACUACUUUGGAUGAGGCAAACCCUCCGGGACUUUGGCUACAAUCUGAGCAAAGUCCCACUCCUAUGUGACAAUGAGAGUGCUAUCCGCAUGGCGGAGAAUCCUGUUGAGCGCAGCCGCACAAAGCACAUAGACAUCCGGCAUCACUUUUUGAGAGACCACCAGCAAAAGGGAGAUAUCGAAGUGUUUCAUGUUAGCACCGAGAACCAGCUAGCCGAUAUCUUCACUAAGCCUCUAGAUGAGAAGACCUUUUGCAGGUUGCAUAGUGAGCUAAAUGUCUUAGAUUCGCGGAACCUGGAUUGAAUUGUAGCAUACAUGUAUUUAUGCUUUUGAUCAUGUUCCUUGUUGCAUUUUGUUGCUUAUUAUGGUGCUCAAGUUGUACAAACACUCCCUGGACCUCGCAAGUCCGUUGCAAAGUGAUGCACAUGUUUAGGGGGAGAUGUGUUACAACUUGACCCUUUCGAGACUAACCAUGUGCUUGAGUUUGAUGAUUUAGUCUCGAAGGAGGAUUGAAAGGGAAAAGGUGGACUUGGACCAUGCAAGACUUCCACUGCACUCCGAUGAGAGGGUAACUUAUUCCAAGUUCAUCUCUAUGAUCUUAUUGCCUUUGUACUCUUAAUUGAAGAUUUUGGUGAGGCAAUGGGGUUAAAGGGCCAAGAUUGAUCCCGUUUUGGUGCUUGAUGCCAAAGGGGGAGAAAAUAAAGGCCAAAGCGAUAAAUGGAUCAGCUACCACUUGAGAGAUUUUGAAAAUAGUAGAAUAGAGCUUUUUGUUUUAGCAAAACUCUUUUAUUGUGUCUUUUGUCAAAAGUUGGCUUCUUGUGGGGAGAAGUGGUGAUUAUGGGAAAUAGGGGGAGUUUUUGAAAUCUUUGAUCAAUCUCUUUUGGAAUAACUCUCUAUAUGCUUCAACAUGUGUGUUUGACUUAGAGAUAGAGAUUUGAGUUUGAUUUCAAAAACAAACCAAGUGGUGGCAAAGGAUGAUCCAUAGAUGCCAAACAUGAAUCAAAAUAAAUUUAAGUGUUAUUUGAAGUGGUUUUGCACUUGUUCUAGUUGCUUUAUGUUGUGUUGGCAUAAAUCACCAAAAAGGGGGAGAUUGAAAGGGAAAUGUGCCCUUGGGCCAUUUCUAAGUAUUUUGGUGAUUGAGUGCCAACUCAAGUGCUUAAAAUGUGAAUUUAUGCAAUGGAUGAACAAAGUGCAAAUCAAGAGCAAAGGUAUGUUUCUAAGUCUUAGUACAUUGGUUUUGUGUACUAAUAUACUUGUCUAAGUAUUGGAAACAGGAAGAAAAAGAAAAGGAAAAAGGUGGCUGUGUACAGCCAAGGGGCUGUUUCGGUCUAGGGCACCGGACUGUCCGGUGGUGCACCGGACUGUCCGGUGGUGCACCGGACAGUGUCCGGUGCGCCAGGCUGCCUCGGCCGAACAGGCCGCUCUCGGGAAUUCGCCGACGGCGUACGGCUAAAAUUCACCGGACUGUCCGGUGUGCACCGGACUGUCCGGUGAGCCAACGGUCGGCUAGGGCCAACGGUCGGCCGCGGAUUCUGCGCGCGACACGUGGCCAAGCCAACGGUCGGAAGGGGGCACCGGACUGUCCGGUGUGCACCGGACAUGUCCGGUGCGCCAACGGCUCCCAGAUCUGCAACGGUCGACUGCGCUGCUUAAGGAAGGAAAUCGGGCACCGGACAGUGUCCGGUGUGCACCGGACUGUCCGGUGCGCCCGACGACAGAAGGCAAGAUCAGCCUUCCAGAUUUGCUCUCAACGGCUCCUAGCUGCCUUGGGGCUAUAAAAGGGACCCCUAGGCGCAUGGAGGAUGACACUAAGCAACCUAAGAGCAUUCUUGAUCAUCCACACUCAUUCUUUGCGCAUUCGUUUGUCAUUCUAAGUGAUUCGAGCUCCGUUCUUGUGAGAACUUUGAGAUAGUCUUUUGAGCUCGAUUCUUGGCCGUGUGUGUGCGCAUUUUGCUGUGGAUUUGUGUGUGUUGCUUCCCUCCCUUACUCCGUAUUUCUUUGUGAAUCUCAAGUGUAAGGGCGAGAGACUCCAAGUUGUGGAGAUUCCUCGCAAACGGGAAAUUGAAAGGAAAAGCAUAACACUGUGGUAUUCAAGUUGAUCAUUGGAUCACUUGAGAGGAGUUGAGUGCAACUCUCGUCCGUUGGGACGCCACAACGUGGAGUAGGCAAGUUUUGUACUUGGCCGAACCACGGGAUAAAUCACUGUGUCUUCUCUGUGUUGAACUCCUUGUGAUUAUCAUAUUGUGCAAGAUCUUCUCUCCAGCCACUUGGCAUUAACUGUGCUAACACUUAAUCAAAGUUUUGUGGCUUAAGUUUUGAAGUUUACAGGAUCACCUAUUCACCCCCCCCCUCUAGGUGCUCUCAGGAGCCAAGGUAUUCUCCAAGAUAGACCUUCGCUCAGGAUACCAUCAGAUCAAGAUCCGUGCCAGCGAUAUUCCCAAGACGGCUUUCUCUACCAGAUAUGGGCUCUAUGAGUUUUUGGUGAUGUCUUUUGGGCUGACCAAUGCCCCGGCUUAUUUUAUGUACUUGAUGAACUCAGUAUUCAUGCCAGAACUAGACAAGUUCGUGGUCGUUUUCAUUGAUGACAUUCUGGUUUAUUCCAAGAAUGAAGCCGAGCACACCAAACACUUGCAUACUGUACUUCAGAGACUGCGUGAUCAUCAGUUGUAUGCUAAGUUGAGUAAGUGUGAGUUCUGGCUGGAGGAGAUUAAAUUCUUGGGACACACAAUUUCUCAGAAUGGGAUAUCAGUUGAUCCUGAGAAGGUACAAGAGGUAAUGGAUUGGAAACCCCCGACUACAGUGAAGCAAAUUCGGAGUUUUCUGGGAUUGGCAGGGUAUUAUCGACGAUUUAUUCCGGAUUUCUCCAGAAUUGCCAAACCAAUGACUGAACUGUUAAAGAAGGGAGUCAAAUUUGAGUGGAGCCAAAAGUGUGAAGAUGCCUUUCAUACCUUGAGGCAGCAUUUGACAACAGCCCCAGUGCUGGCCCAACCUAACAACACCAAGCCAUUUGAAGUUUAUUGUGACGCUUCUGGUACCGGAUUGGGAUGUGUCUUGAUGCAAGAGAACAAAGUGAUUGCUUAUGCUUCCCGGGCACUCAGGCCCCAUGAGCAGAACUACCCUACACAUGAUCUAGAAUUGGCAGCGGUAGUCCAUGCUCUAAAGAUAUGGAGACACUACUUGAUGGGAGCUCACUGUAACAUCUACACUGAUCACAAGAGUCUCAAAUACAUCUUCACUCAAGCAGAUCUGAACAUGAGGCAAAGGAGAUGGUUGGAGUUAAUCAAGGACUAUGAUUUGGAGGUGCAUUACCACCCUGGUAAGGCCAAUGUUGUGGCAGAUGCCUUGAGCAGAAAGACCCAGUGUAAUUGUAUGAGCAUGGAUGUGGGAGUGACCACCCUGUGUGAUGAGUUGUGCAAGCUGAACCUGGAAGUUGUUUCUUCGGGUAACCUAAGCUAUAUCUCGGUGGAACCCACGUUGCAAGAGCAGAUCAUCAGGGCACAGGUUGAGGAUAAGGGUGUUCAGGUUAUCAAGGAUAUGAUCAAGCAAAAGGCAGAAAAAUACAAGUGUUUCCGACAGGACAGCAAGGGAAUUCUAUGGUUUGGAGAUCGAUUGGUUGUUCCCAAGGACCCUGAGCUCAGAAAGCAAAUAUUGGAUGAAGCUCACCUUUCAAAAUUCUCCAUGCACCCUGGUAGCAACAAGAUGUACCAUGAUCUCAGGUCUUUAUAUUGGUGGACCAGAAUGAAGAGGGAAAUUGCCAAGUACAUCUCCGAGUGUGACACCUGCCAGAGAAUCAAGGCCAGUCACUUGAAGGCAGCAGGCCCUUUGCAACCCCUUCCCAUACCAUCUUGGAAAUGGGAGGACAUUUGCAUGGAUUUUAUUGUAGGAUUGCCCAAUACCUCCAGGCACCAUGAUUCCAUUUGGGUCAUCGUGGACAGGUUGACCAAGACCGCUCAUUUCUUGCCAGUGCACACCACCCACAAGACAGAGAAGUACGCAGAAAUUUAUGUUGAUCAGAUAGUAAGAUUGCAUGGUAUUCCAAAGACCAUUAUAUCUGACAGAGGAGCCCUGUUUGUGGCAUGCUUUUGGGAGAAACUGCAAGAAUCACUUGGGACCCAAGUAAUCCGAAGCUCAGCAUAUCACCCACAAACAGAUGGCCAGACAGAACGGGUGAAUCAGAUUUUGGAAGACAUGUUGCGGGCAUGUGCACUACAUUAUGGAAAGGAUUGGGACAAGUGUCUGUCUUUGGCAGAGUUUUCUUACAAUAACAGCUAUCAGUCCAGUUUGAAGAUGGCACCUUUUGAGGCAUUAUAUGGGAGAAGGUGUAGGACCCCACUUAAUUGGUCUCAAGCAGGAGAAAGGGAAAUUUUUGGGCCAGACUUGGUACUCGAGGCAGAGGCAAAGGUCAGGGUUAUUACCAAGAACUUAGAAGCUGCUCAGGCCAGGCAAAGGAGCUAUCAUGAUAGGAGGCUGAAGCCUCUACAGUUUGAGGUGGGAGAUCAUGUCUAUCUUAAGGUAUCACCCACCAAGGGUGUCCAGAGAUUCAGGAUCAAGGGCAAGUUAGCUCCUCGCUACGUUGGACCCUAUAAGAUCAAGGCAAGCUGUGGACCCGUAGCCUACCAAUUGGAAUUACCACCUCACAUGUCAGCAGUUCAUAAUGUGUUCCAUGUAUCUCAGCUGCGGAAAUGCGUUCGUCUACCCACUGAAGUGCUACCGGAACCAGACAUUGAGAUAGAACCAGACUUGUCCUACCAAGAGUACCCUGUCGUGGUAUUAGAUCAAAAGGAGAGAUCAACUCGGGCAAGGUCGGUCAGAAUGUACAAGGUUCAGUGGAGUCACCAUUCAGCAGAAGAAGCUACAUGGGAGACGGAGGAAUUUCUACGCUCUCGCUUCCCCGACUUUCUGCCCAAAGGAGUCGGUAUGUAACCCCAAACCCCCACCCCCACCUGCCCUUUGAAUUCAAUUAUAAGAAGAACUUAGAUAACGAGAAUAGUCUAAAUUGUGGAAUUAACUUAAGAAGGGCUUCCUUCUGAAGUUGCAAAGAGGAUGACAUUCGAAGAGCAGUAAAUAAGAGAAACUUAAGUAUAAAAAGGGAAAACAACACCAGCACACCUUCAAGCAUCCCUCCAAAGGGCUCUACCUGAAAUCUCGGGGCGAGAUUCCUUUAAGGGGGGAGGGCUGUAACACCCCAGGUGUUACCCAGGGUGUCCACCCCAGGGUUACCCCCUUUUCACCCAUUAUCACAUGAAGAGUGAAUUGGGCAAAGUAUACCAAACUUGGAAUUCUAGGUCCUAAGCAAGUGUAACCCACCUUGGAUGUCAUGCCCCAGCUUAUCAUGCACAUCUAAGUGGGGAUCUCCCAAAACCCUAAAGCAAAACCCCCAUAGGCAAUGGGAACCCUAAUUGAAGCCAUGAUCAAAAGAUCAUGUAAACCUUAUGAUCAUGGUUUGGGCCAAAUAGAAAAGUUGUAAUAUACUUAAUAACCUACAAUUAAUAGUAAGGAAGUACCCCCAAAAAGUUUUCAGAAAAGCCCUAAACAGUCCACCUAAGAUUUAGCACAAGGGGAAAUUCAGCUUUUGCCUAAGUGCAAAAACUAACCCUUGCACAAAGACUCCCCAUGUUCACCUUAAUCCCCUUUUCAAAACCUUUCGACCCAAUUGACAAAAGGGCGCCAAAUUAACCCUAGAACCCCCUGGAAAGAGAUGACACCUACCCUAGGGCGCUAGACACGACUUGACACCCCUUUUGUCUCGGUUCGGGCUUAGCUGACACAGCAAACUUCUCCCCUCUCUAUCUCCCUACCCCGACCAUAUCUCGACUUGGAACUCACAGCGAAAAGAUAGGAUUUGGAGCAGAGAAGCGACCGUACACAGUGACUUUGCCAAGAUACGCACGCUAUGGCGCUCUAAUCGGCCGUUGAACCAUGGCAGAAGCAAGCUUCCACGUGUUCGACGCGAGCUGGCAUCCGGGGGCGCGCUCAGAGCACGCCCGUGCGCGAACCCCCGCGCGCCCGCGACCGCCCGUGACCACGCCCGCGCCACGGCUAUAAAGCCCGCCCCAGUGCUUGGCUGCCUUCCCCGUUACCCCUCCGUACCUCGCCGGACUUGCCCGAGCCAGCCAUUAACUCCGGCGACCUCCCCGCGAACCGCCAGUGCCGCCCGAGAGCAACCACAGUGGCCAGCCCCUCUCCCGUCCUCCUCCGUUCGAUCCAAGCCCUUAGAUAGCUUCCUCGUGAGGCCGUGAGACUUGCUCGAGCUUGACCCAGGGACCCUCGUCACCGGAAUAGCCCAAUCAUGCUCACCGGAGUUCAAGAACCCGCCGGCACACGUGGACCGGGUAAGCCCCUGCACCGUUUUCCAAUUCGUUGCGCGCAUGGCCUCUGUGUCACCCCGUGAAGCUCCUCGUGCACCCUAAUUGAACUAUACCGCCGUGGUUUGGCCGGAGCAGGAGCCGCCGACGACCCCCGCCGCCUGUGCUCGUGGCCAGGGUAUCUCCGACCACCUCCGACACCGACCCGCACACCGACGUGACCGUCGCGACCUCCCGGACGUCACUGACCACCCCGCCGGAGCUCUACUGCCGCCGGUAAGCCCCACCGCCGUAAACUAUGCCGCGGGUACUGUUUAAGCCGGUCAGGGAGCGCGGGUUAGAUUUCAGUUAAGUCCAGGGGACUUUGCGCAAUGUCAGUGACCCAAGCCAAUAGUGGACCAAGGGCUGUUCUGUGAGAAAAGAAAAGGAAAAACCCCAGGGGCCUCAGCGUAAACCUGUUUUCUUUUCCAUUUUCGAAUUUCUUUUCUUUUUGUUAUAACAGAUAGCUAAAUAAAUGCAUAACUUGAAGAAUAAUCAUCCAAAAAUGUUCAAACCAAUUUUGUUAGAUUCUGGAAUUUAUGAACUAUCAGAUAAAAAUAAUAGAACCCAUGGCUUCUGUGUUCCUUUCUGAAGUUUUGAAUUAAAUAAGAAAACCACUCAAAACUCAAUAUUAGAAGGAAAAAUAGGAAUAUUGUUUAACCAGGGUUAGAAAAAUUUUGAGAAGCUUAUAUCUACCUACUAGACCAAGUAAAAAUGUUAAACCUCUCUGUAUACUCCAUUUAAGUUAGUUUUACCCCUUAUUCUAUAAUAUGCUUAAGGAUAAGGAAAAUAGAAAAUGUAAUUUAAUUAAUGAACCAGAGAGUACCUCUAUUUUUGUUAGGUUACUUAUUCAAUAUAGUUCACUGGAAAUAUAUAUCAUACCCUGUUUUAGUGUAAAAUAAGUAAGAUCUCUUUUGUUUUAAUAAAACAAGUGAAACUUAGAAAAACUCUACAAAAAUAACCCCAAGGUAAAAGCACCCCCACCCUUGGGAUAACUAUUGUUUUAUUAGAGAGAACUUAGGAAAAAUAUGAAAUCUGCUGUUUGACAUUUUUCAAAUAAUAAUGUAGUAGAAAGUGCCUUUUUAACAUUAAACUUAAGAAAAUCAUAACUAAAUAACCACCCCUUAGUUUUCUGUGAUUUUUAGCACAAAGACCUAUUAUUACUAUUGGAUGCCAGCAAAAAUAACCUUUAGGACAGAACCUACCCCCAACUAAGAGGUGUAGUGUAAAGUGGCCCAUUUUGCCUAACUUUUGUUAUUUUUGUUUAAAGCCUAGCCUUGGUACUUAAAGCCUCAACUUCUUAAAACAAGCUAGAAUAGCAAGUGACAACCCACUGUAAUUUUUACAGAAUUUUUUGGAAAUUAUUAAAACCCUGUUGAAGUUCAAACCUACCCUAGAAACCCUAAAUGGAAAUUAAGGAAAGGAAAAUGAAUAAUGUGAAUGAAUGUUAUCCUAAAACCUUUGUAAUCUGUCCACUAAAAUAUAUCAAGGCAAUACCAAUUCACUAUGUUAUUCAAAAAGAAACCUAAGCUUAAAGGGUAAUAAGUCUAUGUAUCUAUAUAUAUGCCACUAGAAGCCCCGCAUGACUAAGAAAACCCUAAGUUAAUUCUUGACUUAGUUUCUUUAGCUUAAUGUUCUUAAAUCUUGCAUAAUCAUGACAUACAUGUUCAUUGCAUUUCGAUAGACUGUAAUCUCGCUGACGGAGAGUACAUCCUCGUGCCGGAGCAAGGAGCUGCUCAGGAGGUAGCCCCAGACCCAGCACCCGAGCCUGCACCAGAGGACCUGCCUGCCACUGCUUUGGAAGGCAAGCCCCGGUUUUAUGCAUAACCUGUUAUUUAUGCUAUUUUACUUCACUUAAUGAUUGUAGGAUUGAUUGUGCACUUAGGUGUAGGAAUUGUUUGAAACCCUAGUUGCAUGAUCUCAGGAAUCCUUUUGAGAUGAAUACUAGUAUGACAGGUCGAGUAGUUGCUUUAUUUAAUUAGGAUCUCAGUAGAAGACGAGUGAUUUUUCUAGCACUCGCGCGAGAUCAGGAAAUUGAUUGUACCCACUUGCACACUGUCAUGAUACUAGUUGGUGGACAACAAUCCAUGGGGAUUGGUUGUUCACGAGAUGGAAAAUGGAAUAAGGAUUAACGUGCGGAUACCUGUGUCAAGCGUUUGAACGUACUAAACACAUACCGAGAAAUAUGGUAAAUCGGUAAGCCUAGUACCUGAGUGAACCUGCCCGUAGAUUGCCCUCCUCACGCGACCUGAGACGAGGUCUCCCAUUCUGGUUAUGGUGGGUACAAGUGCGGUCACUGCACGACGGCCAGUCGGGGUCAGUGAGGCAUUGUACGCCAAGGCGGUGAGCCCCUUUCUGUUGCCAGGGAAUCGAUGGGGACGGUUGAUGUGUGUGGGGACGGAGUGCCCCUGCAUGUCGUGUGUUUAGGUUUGCCUUGCAAGGAUAAAAACUCGAUUCGAAUCGUCUGCUUCUCGCAGCUAAUGAGACUGCUUGAUCCAUUGUACUGCAUUGAGUAAUAAGUGGAAGUAUGAUGAGUUGAGAUAAGAUGUUGAUUGUUAACAAUGCUUGCUACCAUGUAUGAGUAGAUAGUCCACUUUUAGCCUUAAGAGAGUCACACUUAACUUUGACUAAGUUAAAAUCUUGAUUUAGAAACUCAGCUAGUGCUUUUGGCAACCAAACCCCACAGCCAAACAGCUGCAUGUCUAGAGGUAGAGGAGUAGACUCCUCACACCGAGUAAGUCUAGCUGAGUAUUAGUAUACUCAGCCUUGCUUGUGGCACAAUUUUUUACAGGUUCUCUGGAGGAGAUGGUUGCUGGGAUAACUUGGCCGUCCACCUUGCCACCGGGUUGGACUGUUGAGUGGGACCCUGCCUCGGCUGAGGAGGAGCAUGAGGAGUGAUGGGACAGGCUUCCCCAUCUCUCUGUUUAAGUAUCGUUAGUUUUAUUCCGCUGCACUUCGAACAAUGAUGGUUACUUUUGCAAAACUCCGAUGAUGAUGAUGGUGAUGUAAUAAUUUAAUACUCUGGCAUGUAUGGUUUUAUGCUUUAUUGUAUUUGCUCUGUGACUCACCUUCGAGUGAGAUUGUGGUACUUGAUCCUGUCAGUGGCCGUGUCGGACUAGAUCCGAGGGAUUGACGGGUUAUUCCUAUUUAAGUGUGGUCUAGCCUCUAAGGCGGGACUUAGGCACUUAAGUUGGAAUAAUUCGGGCAGUUCCGCCACAAGUAUGCUUAGAGAAUUCUUGGUAUAUUCCUCCAUGCGCCUAGGGGUCCCUUUUAUAGCCCCAAGGCAGCUAGGAGCCGUUGGAGAUCAAUUUGGAAGGCAUUUCUUACCUUCAGUCGAGUGGUGCACCGGACAGUCCGGUGCACCACCGGACAACCACUGUUCAUGUCCGGUGCGCGAUCUCCUUCCAUAUCGGGUGCAUCCGACCGUUGCUCCUCGGGGCUGGUUGGCGCACCGGACACUGUCCGGUGCACACCGAACAGUCCGGUGUGCCCAACUGACCGUUGGAGCAAGACAUGCGUCGCCCGUAGAUUGCACAGCCGACCGUUGGCCGCGGGCACCGUUGGCUCACCGGACAGUCCGGUGCACCACCGGACAGUCCGGUGAUUUUUAGCCACGUCGCCUUUUUCAUUUCCCGAGACCGACGAGUUCGUCGUGGAUGACUCACCAGACAGUCCGGUGAUUUAUAGCCAUACACCUCCGUCGAUUUCCGAGAGCAGCUGGUUCAACGCCGGCCAGCCUGGGGCACAGGACACUGUCUGGUGCGCCACCGGACAGUCCGGUGUGCUAGGCCGAGCUGGAGUGGGCUGCACACUGCCAAUUCUUUUCCAUUUCUUUUCUACUUCUUUUGUCACUGUUUCUAGCACUUAUACAAACACAUUAGUAUUAAAAACAAUGUACUAAGUCUAGAACCAUACCUUGUAAUAUGAUUUGUAUUUCUCUUCUUUGUUUAGCACAUAGGAACUUAACCAAUCGUGUUGGGCAUUUAAUCACCAAAACAUAGAACUGGCCCAAGGGCACAUUUCCCUUUCAGCUGGUAUUUGAAUACCAGCUUAACCAGCCUGAAAACCAGCUGAACCAGUAUUUCCCAGAGAGCAAUUUUGGCCAAGAUAAACCUAAAAAGGUUGUGCUACAUACUUUCACUAAGAAUUAACAAGGGUAAAAUAGAAGUUUUGGAUCAAGGGUUUUGAGCUUUAGUACCAACACCAACCUUCUUUUUGGAUUCCUCUUGAUAGUACGACGAUUCCUAUACUCAAGUUAAAUAAAAUAUAAUUAAGUAAACUCCUUGAGUCAUUGGUGUCUCAUGUGUGAUUUCUCCAUGGCAUUGCUUCAUAAGGAUCACAAACAUUUUUGUCUCACCUUUUGAAGCAAAGACAAAUCAAGCCAUGUGACUUGAACCAUUUCACCAUAUAUGAGCUCAACUCAUGGCUUCAAGUCACCAUACUGAUGCAUCAACACAAUAUAACUCUUCAUAGCUGAUUAGUUCAUCGACUUAGUGUAAGUACUCUCUUCUUCACCUUAGCAAUGGUACCUUGGUCCACAAGUCGUCGCUUGGCCUUCACCUUCGCUUAUUUCCUCGAAUCCCUUUUCUUGUUAUCUUCACCCUAUGAAGCCAUUCUUGAGUCACAUCAUAUUGAACAUCCAUUGAGAGAAUCAUUUCUUCGAUAUUGUGAAACUUGCUUGAAUGUCAUCUAGAUAUAAAUGCUAAGAUCAAUCAAGCUCUAGUUUGAUUCUCAUAGAAGCAUAUAUGGACUAAUAGUAAUAUGGUCAAGUCAAUUCACAAUUCCUCAUAUCUUAUUCACUUUGGCUUGACCAAUCCUAUUAAUCACUUCAACCUCUAUUCAAACGAAUAUAGAGACCAUAUUAUAUCCAUUUGCAUUGUCUCAUUGGUUAUUUAACCUUGUGUUGAACCUUUGUUCACUGACCUUUAUACACUAUUCGAGUAUGUUCAUCAUACUAAAUUUCAUGUUCAACACUUAGCAUACUUGUUGGACCUUUAAAUGUGUUGUUAUCCAAAUCACCAAACCCACAAAAGGGAUGAAUGCACUUUCAACUUA
Molecule: long non-coding RNA, 24470 nt
Filed under: Zea mays
Lineage: Eukaryota; Viridiplantae; Streptophyta; Magnoliopsida; Poales; Poaceae
Description: long non-coding RNA (ZMAY_LNC000101)
Source: RNAcentral